RNAcentral lists this unclassified non-coding RNA (345 nucleotides) under soil metagenome. RNAcentral's name for it is "partial contains 5.8S ribosomal RNA, internal transcribed spacer 2, and large subunit ribosomal RNA". The stretch from base 1 to 119 matches the Rfam family "5.8S ribosomal RNA", at positions 35 to 154 of the family's 154-position model. The record is from RNAcentral.
GAUGAAGAACGCAGCGAAAUGCGAUAAGUAAUGUGAAUUGCAAAUUCAGUGAAUCAUCGAGUCUUUGAACGCACAUUGCGCCCCCUGGUAUUCCGGGGGGCAUGCCUGUCCGAGCGUCAUUGCUGCCCUCAAGCACGGCUUGUGUGUUGGGCCCCGUCCUCCGAUUCCGGGGGACGGGCCCGAAAGGCAGCGGCGGCACCGCGUCCGGUCCUCGAGCGUAUGGGGCUUUGUCACCCGCUCUGUAGGCCCGGCCGGCGCUUGCCGAUCAACCCAAAUUUUUAUCCAGGUUGACCUCGGAUCAGGUAGGGAUACCCGCUGAACUUAAGCAUAUCAAUAAGCGGAGGA